Molecule: long non-coding RNA, 325 nt
Organism: Priapulus caudatus
Lineage: Eukaryota; Metazoa; Priapulida; Priapulimorpha; Priapulimorphida; Priapulidae
Exons: 3
Source: RefSeq, a predicted model, not a curated record
UGCAAAUGUUACAUAUACGUCUGGGUGAUAUGAUAAAAAGUUUAUCAAGGACGCUAACUAUGCCGCCCAAGAGGACCGCCAUCUUUUCUCGUUGGUAUCAAUUUUGUUGCAACCUAAAAGUGUUGGAGAGAUUCGCCUGAGAACCAGCGACCCGCUAGACUAUCCGCUCAUAGAUCCACGCUACUACGAGAAUGAAGAAGACGUUAAAACCAUGGUGGCAGGGAUCAAGCUCGUGAUGAGGAUAUCAGCGACAAAUGCAUUCAAGUCUAUCGGAGCAAAGAUGAAUCCAAAUAACUGGAACGUGCCAGGGUGCACUCAGCACGGC